RNAcentral lists this ribosomal RNA (506 nucleotides) under Plectus minimus. RNAcentral's name for it is "SSU rRNA". It matches the Rfam family "Eukaryotic small subunit ribosomal RNA", at positions 88 to 590 of the family's 1831-position model. The record is from RNAcentral. Lineage: Eukaryota; Metazoa; Nematoda; Chromadorea; Plectida; Plectidae.
CGCGAAUGGCUCAUUACAACAGCCACUGUUUACUUGAUCUUGACUAUCCUACUUGGAUAACUGUGGUAAUUCUAGAGCUAAUACACGCAAUAAAGCUCCGACCUUACGGGACGAGCGCAUUUAUUAGACCAAAACCAAUCGGGCUUCGGCCUGAGCCGUUGGUGACUCUGAAUAACUGAGCUGAUCGCAUGGUCUUUGUACCGGCGACGCAUCUUUCAAGUGUCUGCCUUAUCAACUUUCGAUGGUAGUUUAUGUGCCUACCAUGGUUGUUACGGGUAACGGAGAAUAAGGGUUCGACUCCGGAGAGGGAGCCUGAGAAACGGCUACCACAUCCAAGGAAGGCAGCAGGCGCGCAAAUUACCCACUCUCGGCACGAGGAGGUAGUGACGAAAAAUAACGAGGCGGUUCUCUAUGAGGCCCGCUAUCGGAAUGGGUACAAUUUAAACCCUUUAACGAGGACCUAUGAGAGGGCAAGUCUGGUGCCAGCAGCCGCGGUAAUUCCAGCU